RNAcentral lists this ribosomal RNA (460 nucleotides) under uncultured bacterium. RNAcentral describes it as "partial 16S ribosomal RNA". It matches the Rfam family "Bacterial small subunit ribosomal RNA", at positions 338 to 795 of the family's 1533-position model. The record is from RNAcentral.
CCUACGGGUGGCUGCAGUGAGGAAUAUUGGUCAAUGGGCGCAAGCCUGAACCAGCCAAGUCGCGUGAGGGAUGACGGUCCUAUGGAUUGUACACCUCUUUUGUCGGGGAGUAAGUCCCGCCACGUGUGUCGGGAAGGAGAGUACCCGAAGAAAAAGCAUCGGCUAACCCCGGGCCUGCAGCCGCGGUAUUACGGAGGAUGCGAGCGUUAUACGGAUGUAGUGGGUUUAAAGGGUGCGUAGGCGGAAGGUUAAGUCAGCGGUCAAAUGUCGGUGUUCAACACCGGCCUGCCGUUGAAACUGGUCUUCUUGAGUGAGCGAGAAGUAUGCGGAAUGCGUGGUGUAGCGGUGAAAUGCAUAGAUAUCACGCAGAACUCCGAUUGCGAAGGCAGCAUACCGGCGCUCAACUGACGCUGAGGCACGAAAGCGUGGGGAUCGAACAGGAUUAGAUACCCCUGUAGUC